UGCCAGACUCCUACGGGAGGCAGCAGUGAGGAAUAUUGGUCAAUGGGCGGGAGCCUGAACCAGCCAAGUCGCGUGAGGGAAGACGGUCCUAUGGAUUGUAAACCUCUUUAGGCGGGGAGCAAUGCCGGGCACGCGUGUCCGGAGGGAGAGUACCCGCAGAAUAAGCAUCGGCUAACUCCGUGCCAGCAGCCGCGGUAAUACGGAGGAUGCGAGCGUUAUCCGGAUUUAUUGGGUUUAAAGGGUGCGUAGGCGGAUUUUUAAGUCAGCGGUAAAAUGUCCGGGCUCAACCCGGGCCGGCCGUUGAAACUGGCUGUCUUGAGAUGUCGAGAGGUAUGCGGAAUGCGCAGUGUAGCGGUGAAAUGCUUAGAUAUUGCGCAGAACUCCGAUUGCGAAGGCAGCAUACCGGCGGCGAUCUGACGCUGAGGCACGAAAGCGUGGGUAUCGAACAGGAUUAGAUACCCCAGUACAG
RNAcentral lists this ribosomal RNA (469 nucleotides) under uncultured bacterium. Its description in RNAcentral is "bacterial SSU rRNA". It matches the Rfam family "Bacterial small subunit ribosomal RNA", at positions 329 to 793 of the family's 1533-position model. The record is from RNAcentral.